GGAAGUGGCCCAUGCCUUACCUGCCACUGCUGGUCUUCUGCCUCUGGGAAGGUUUUCACAGUCACGUGAGCACCCCCAACUGUAUGCCAGGAAGCAGUUUACAGAACACUGGCACCCCAACAUCACAGUUCUAUCUCCUAACAAUCUCAUGAGCAUGUCGGGGGAGCUAGGCAUUUCUGACCCAACCCGCUGUGUGCAGACUGAGCCUGCAACCCUGGACCCCAAUAAAUGCAAACAGCUGGUCACAGGGGUGAUGGCUGACUCGGUUCCAUCAACAGAAUGUCUCAGAAGAGCACAUGGCAGCAAUCUCUUAUUCCAGAGCUGCACCAUCCACUAGGUAGUCACUGACCCCUUGUCACUACCGAGCCUAUGACAUGUGGCUUGUCUGGAUCGAGAUGGGCUGAAGGUAUAAAAAUACAGGAUUCCAAAGAUUUGGUACAAAUAAAAGGGAUAUAAAAUAUCUCAUUAAUAGUUUUCUUAAUAUUGAUUACCUGUUAACAUGAUAACCUUUUGGAUAUACUGGGCUAAAUAUAUUAUGAAAAUUAAUUCCACCUGUUUCUCAUUGUUUAAUGUGACUAACAGAAAAUCUGAAAUUACCUAGGUGGCUCACACUGUAUUUCUACUGCAUGGUCCUGUUUCAGAACAUCUGCCUGGCUUUCAACUUCAGAUUCAGGCAGGGUUCUAACUGUUCUCGGAUAUGACUGAGACAGACACCUCUUGUCCGUCUUGAAUAUCUCCCUAAAGCUACAAUGUACUGGCUUCCAAGUGAUACUUUUAAUUGGGCUGAACAAUCUUACUAUCCAAUAACCCACUGCCAAGCUCAAGUAUAAACUAAGAAAAAAGGCAAGGUCAGAUGUGCACCCAGAAGCUAGACCAGCUCAGUGGGGUGACAACCUCUUCCAAAAUUUUCUCAAUCACUUCUGAGACCCACAGCGUGCUUUUAAAAAACAGUAAUAGGCCAGGCGCGGUGGUUCACACCUGUAAUCCCAGCACUUUGGGAGGCCAAGGCGGGUGGAUCACUGGAGCUCAGGAGUUAGAGACCAGCCUGGCCAACAUGGCAAAACCCCGUCUCUAUAAAAAAAAAAAAAAAAAA
This 1093-nucleotide long non-coding RNA is filed under the name Macaca fascicularis (crab-eating macaque). Its description in RNAcentral is "lncRNA (ENSMFAG00000049433.1)". Lineage: Eukaryota; Metazoa; Chordata; Mammalia; Primates; Cercopithecidae. The record is from RNAcentral.